RNAcentral lists this ribosomal RNA (165 nucleotides) under uncultured bacterium. RNAcentral's name for it is "partial 16S rRNA". It matches the Rfam family "Bacterial small subunit ribosomal RNA", at positions 355 to 511 of the family's 1533-position model. The record is from RNAcentral.
UAGGGAAUCUUCCACAAUGGGCGAAAGUCUGACCGAGCAACGCCGCGUGAGUGAAGAAGGUUUUCGGAUCGUAAAACUCUGUUGGUAGAGAAGAACGUUGGUGAGAGUGGAAAGCUCAUCAAGUGACGGUAACUACCCAGAAAGGGACGGCUAACUACGUGCUAG